This 460-nucleotide ribosomal RNA is filed under the name uncultured bacterium. RNAcentral describes it as "partial 16S ribosomal RNA". It matches the Rfam family "Bacterial small subunit ribosomal RNA", at positions 338 to 795 of the family's 1533-position model. The record is from RNAcentral.
CCUACGGGAGGCAGCAGUGAGGAAUAUUGGUCAAUGGGCGCUAGCCUGAACCAGCCAAGUAGCGUGAAGGAUGACUGCCCUAUGGGUUGUAAACUUCUUUUAUAUGGGACUAAAGUGCAGUAUGUAUACUGCUUUGCAUGUACCUUAUGAAUAAGGAUCGGCUAACUCCGUGCCAGCAGCCGCGGUACUACGGAGGAUCCGAGCGUUAUCCGGAUUUAUUGGGUUUAAAGGGAGCGUAGGCGGGUUGUUAAGUCAGUUGUGAAAGUUUGCGGCUCAAACGUAAAAUUGCAGUUGAUACUGGCAGCCUUGAGUACAGUAGAGGUAGGCGGAAUUCGUGGUGUAGCGGUGAAAUGCUUAGAGAUCACGAAGAACUCCGAUUGCGAAGGCAGCCUGCUGGACUGUAACUGACGCUGAUGCUCGAAAGUGUGGGUAUCAAACAGGAUUAGAUACCCGAGUAGUC